CGUAGGGGCGAAGCGUUAUCCGGAAGUUAUUGGGCGUAAAGAGUGCGUAGGUGGUUACCUAAGCGCAAGGUUUAAUUUAGAGGCUCAACCUCUACUUGCCUUGCGAACUGGGCUACUUGAGUGCAGGAGGGGAAAGCGGAAUUCCUAGUGUAGCGGUGAAAUGCGUAGAUAUUAGGAGGAACACCAGCGGCGAAGGCGGCUUUUCUGGACUGUAACUGACACUGAGGCACGAAAGCGUAGGUAGCAAACAGGAUU
RNAcentral lists this ribosomal RNA (255 nucleotides) under uncultured bacterium. RNAcentral's name for it is "partial 16S ribosomal RNA". It matches the Rfam family "Bacterial small subunit ribosomal RNA", at positions 526 to 779 of the family's 1533-position model. The record is from RNAcentral.